UGGGCGGCCUACCAUGCAGUCGAGCGGAUGACGGGAGCUUGCUCCUUGAUUCAGCGGCGGACGGGUGAGUAAUGCCUAGGAAUCUGCCUGGUAGUGGGGGACAACGUUUCGAUAGGAACGCUAAUACCGCAUACGUCCUACGGGAGAUAGCAGGGGACCUUCGGGCCUUGCGCUAUCAGAUGAGCCUAGGUCGGAAUAGCUAGUUGGUGAGGUAAUGGCUCACCAAGGCGACGAUCCGUAACUGGUCUGAGAGGAUGAUCAGUCACACUGGAACUGAGACACGGUCCAGACUCCUACGGGAGGCAGCAGUGGGGAAUAUUGGACAAUGGGCGAAAGCCUGAUCCAGCCAUGCCGCGUGUGUGAAGAAGGUCUUCGGAUUGUAAAGCACUUUAAGUUGGGAGGAAGGGCAGUAAGUUAAUACCUUGCUGUUGAGACGUUACCGACAGAAUAAGCACCGGCUAACUCUGUGCCAGCAGCCGCGGUAAUACAGAGGGUGCAAGCGUUAAUCGGAAUAACUGGGCGUAAAGCCCGCGUAGGUGGUUCGUUAAGUUGGAUGUGAA
This 560-nucleotide ribosomal RNA is filed under the name Pseudomonas plecoglossicida. RNAcentral's name for it is "bacterial SSU rRNA". It matches the Rfam family "Bacterial small subunit ribosomal RNA", at positions 43 to 598 of the family's 1533-position model. The record is from RNAcentral. Lineage: Bacteria; Pseudomonadati; Pseudomonadota; Gammaproteobacteria; Pseudomonadales; Pseudomonadaceae.